RNAcentral lists this ribosomal RNA (822 nucleotides) under uncultured eukaryote. Its description in RNAcentral is "SSU rRNA". It matches the Rfam family "Eukaryotic small subunit ribosomal RNA", at positions 629 to 1426 of the family's 1831-position model. The record is from RNAcentral.
CGGUGUUUAACUGGCGUGAUGUGGGACGUCCUACCGGGUGGGCUUAGCCUCGCGAGGGGCGGCCCAACUAAUAUCCCGUCGCGGUGCUCUUUACUGAGUGUCGAGUCGGGCCGGUACGUUUACUUUGAACAAAUUAGAGUGCUUAAAGCAGGCUAUCCUCGCCUGAAUACUGCGUGCAUGGAAUAAUGGAAUAGGACCUCGGUUCUAUUUUGUUUGGUUUUCGGAACCCCCGAGGUAAUGAUUAAUAGGGACAGAUGGGGGCAUUCGUAUUGCGACGUUAGAGGUGAAAUUCUUGGAUCGUCGCAAGACGGACAGAAGCGAAAGCAUUUGCCAAAAUGUUUUCAUUAAUCAAGAACGAAAGUUAGAGGUUCGAAGGCGAUCAGAUACCGCCCCUAGUUCUAACCAUAAACGAUGCCAGCUAGCGAUCCGCCGAAGUUCCUCCGAUGACUCGGCGGGCAGCUUCCGGGAAACCAAAGCUUUUGGGUUCCGGGGGAAGUAUGGUUGCAAAGCUGAAACUUAAAGGAAUUGACGGAAGGGCACCACCAGGAGUGGAGCCUGUGGCUUAAUUUGACUCAACACGGGAAACCUCACCAGGCCCAGACACCGGAAGGAUUGACAGAUUGAUAGCUCUUUCUUGAUUCGGUGGGUGGUGGUGCAUGGCCGUUCUUAGUUGGUGGAGCGAUUUGUCUGGUUAAUUCCGAUAACGAACGAGACUCUAGCCUGCUAAAUAGGCGUACCUUAUGGUAUCGCGAAGGCCCCCGGCUUCGGCCGGUGGGUUUUUACUACCAACGUACAAACAAAUCUUCUUAGAGGGACAGGCGG